GGUUCCAUAGUGUAGCAGUUAGCACGUCUGAUUUACAUGCAGAAGGUCCUGGGUUCACACCUCAGUGGAGCCA
Non-coding RNA from Pteropus alecto (black flying fox), 73 nucleotides. NCBI's taxonomy places the organism in Eukaryota, Metazoa, Chordata, Mammalia, Chiroptera, Pteropodidae. The record is from Rfam.